Molecule: ribosomal RNA, 386 nt
Filed under: uncultured bacterium
Lineage: Bacteria
Description: bacterial SSU rRNA
Rfam family: Bacterial small subunit ribosomal RNA
Source: RNAcentral
AGUGAACGCUGGCGGCAGGCCUAACACAUGCAAGUCGAACGGCAGCACGGGGGCAACCCUGGUGGCGAGUGGCGGACGGGUGAGUAAAGCAUCGGAACGUAUCCUGGAGUGGGGGAUAACGUAGCGAAAGUUACGCUAAUACCGCAUAUUCUGUGAGCAGGAAAGCAGGGGAUCGCAAGACCUUGCGCUCUGGGAGCGGCCGAUGUCGGAUUAGCUAGUUGGUGGGGUAAAGGCCUACCAAGGCGACGAUCCGUAGCGGGUCUGAGAGGAUGAUCCGCCACACUGGAACUGAGACACGGUCCAGACUCCUACGGGAGGCAGCAGUGGGGAAUUUUGGACAAUGGGGGCAACCCUGAUCCAGCCAUGCCGCGUGAGUGAAGAAGGCC